RNAcentral lists this ribosomal RNA (250 nucleotides) under Didymium environmental sample. Its description in RNAcentral is "partial 18S ribosomal RNA". It matches the Rfam family "Eukaryotic small subunit ribosomal RNA", at positions 28 to 241 of the family's 1831-position model. The record is from RNAcentral. Lineage: Eukaryota; Evosea; Eumycetozoa; Physariida; Didymiaceae.
AUGCUUCUCCUAAAGACUAAGCCAUGCGUGUCUUCGAAUAAGAGGAAGCAAUUCUCUCUGAAUCUGCGAACGGCUCCGCAAACCAGUUGUAAACUAUAACAAGCAAGCCUGCGCCCCUCACCGGGUGCAGGCAACACGGAUAACCCUGGUAAUUCUGAGGCUAAUACGAGAUCGUACUCCCUGGCUAACCGGGCAACUGGAAGGCUGGGAGGUGUGUGAUUUAGCACGAGGAAUCUGCUGGGAAAAGACA